RNAcentral lists this long non-coding RNA (1526 nucleotides) under Oryctolagus cuniculus (rabbit). RNAcentral's name for it is "lncRNA (ENSOCUG00000030743.1)". Lineage: Eukaryota; Metazoa; Chordata; Mammalia; Lagomorpha; Leporidae. The record is from RNAcentral.
CUAAGACAUACAAACAUGUGUACACACACACACAAACACAGACAUGCACACACAUGUCUACUAACAUCUGUAAAGUGGGAAUUGAACUAAGAAAGUGCAAGUUAUCAUUCAGAGAACAGAUAAUCUGUAUGGCAAGAAACAGUGCAUAUAGAUAGAUGAAUGUUAAGUUUUAAAACUUUCACCAAGAGUACUAAAUUCACCUCUCUGGUUGUAGCAAGAUGUCUAGGUUGAAUUAAAAAACAUUGAUUCUUUAUCCCUCAUGUCAUAUUAUGCUUUGAAAAAUAAUCUGGGUACACCCAAAGGCCCAUGUAUUAAGUCUUGAACCUCAGAGUCUUAUAUAAAUGGAAUAAAGAUAGAGGUUACUUGACUUAGUGUCUCAAGGUGGGACCUGAAGAACUGAUUGCAUCAAAUUAGGCUGCUACAUACCCAUUAUCAAGUCAUGAUGACAUUAUAAAAUAGAACAGGGGCCGGCGCUAUGGCAUAGCAGGUAAAGCCAUCACUGGGAGUGCCGACAUCCUGCGUGAACUCUGGUUCAAGUCCUGGCUGCUGCUCUUCCGAUCCAGCUCUCUGCCAUGCCUGGGAAAGCUGUAGAAGAUGGCUCAAGUCCUUGGGCCCCUGCAUCCGUGUGGAAGACCUGGAAGAAUCUCCUGGCUCCUGGUUUCAGAUCGACACAUUGCAGCCAUCUAGGGAGUGAAUCAGUGGAUGGAAGACCUCUCUCUCUCUCUCUCUCUCUGCCUCUCCUUCUAUGUCUGUGUAACUCUAACUUUCAAAAUUAAUAACUCGUUUUUAAAAUAGGACAUAUAAAGUUGAAGAAUGUUCUCCCUGUGUCUGUCUGCUUCCUGGUUCACCAUGUGACCUUUCCCUCUGCCUUUGCUCUGCUCCUGGAAUCCUCCAGCCUCUCCAGACUGAUGAACUGACGCAGCCACCUGACCCAUUUUGAGCCUUCAAAAUGUUCCCGGUAGCUGCUGUGAAAGACCACACAGGUGCAAACAACCCAGGUUCAUAUUCCUCCUCUCUGUUUUUGUACCCUGCUAUCUUGAAGUCUCUAGGCCCCAAGAUUACAAAAUGCAGCUCUUCGGGAAGAUCUGCUCAGACUCGAAAAGUGAUUUGCAGCCGUUUUCUUCUCACAUUAAAGAAUCUCUCCGGCUCAGUUGCUUGAACCUUACAGUCGCUUCCAUGACGCCAGCACCGAGACUCCAGCUCCCUUCCAAGGCAUGAGUUGAGCCACUAAAUCCAGGUCAGUGGAUGAUACUCCGUCAGCAUCAGAGGAUUUUUUUCCUAGAUGACCAACAGUCUUCUUAGAAAACAGCUUCUCUUGCCUCUCUGAGUUACCCCCUCUUCACUUCUCCAUGUAACCAAGGUCCAGGAUGACACAGACAUCUGCAGAAUUAUCUCACAGAAGGCCCACACACUCAUGGUUGGUGAGGACAGUUACCUGAGAUCAUGCACCACACUGAGCUACAGCUCAUCUCCACUCCACACCAAAUAACAGAAAAUAAAAGCUGUCUGCUUGAUUUGAGAAGACA